RNAcentral lists this ribosomal RNA (462 nucleotides) under uncultured bacterium. RNAcentral describes it as "partial 16S ribosomal RNA". It matches the Rfam family "Bacterial small subunit ribosomal RNA", at positions 355 to 806 of the family's 1533-position model. The record is from RNAcentral.
UGGGGAAUUUUGGACGAAUUGGGCGAAAGCCUGAUCCAGCAAUGCCGCGUGUGUGAAGAAGGCCUUCGGGUUGUAAAGCACUUUUGUCCGGAAAGAAAUCCUUGGCUCUAAUACAGUCGGGGGAUGACGGUACCGGAAGAAUAAGCACCGGCUAACUACGUGCCAGCAGCCGCGGUAAUACGUAGGGCUGCAAGCGUUAAUCGGAAUUACUGGGCGUAAAGCGUGCGCAGGCGGUUUGCUAAGACCGAUGUGAAAUCCCCGGGCUCAACCUGGGAACUGCAUUGGUGACUGGCAGGCUAGAGUAUGGCAGAGGGGGGUAGAAUUCCACGUGUAGCAGUGAAAUGCGUAGAGAUGUGGAGGAAUACCGAUGGCGAAGGCAGCCCCCUGGGCCAAUACUGACGCUCAUGCACGAAAGCGUGGGGAGCAAACAGGAUUAGAUACCCUGGUAGUCCACGCCCUAAA